Molecule: ribosomal RNA, 479 nt
Filed under: uncultured bacterium
Lineage: Bacteria
Description: partial 16S ribosomal RNA
Rfam family: Bacterial small subunit ribosomal RNA
Source: RNAcentral
GACGAACGCUGGCGGCGUGCUUAACACAUGCAAGUCGAACGGUAAGGCCCUUCGGGGUACACGAGUGGCGAACGGGUGAGUAACACGUGGGUGAUCUGCCCUGCACUUCGGGAUAAGCCUGGGAAACUGGGUCUAAUACCGGAUAGGACCACUGCCUGCAUGGGUGGUGGUGGAAAGCUUUUGCGGUGUGGGAUGGGCCCGCGGGCCUAUCAGCUUGUUGGUGGGGUGAUGGCCUACCAAGGCGACGACGGGUAGCCGGCCUGCGAGGGUGACCGGCCACCGUGGGACUGAGAUACGGCCCAGACUCCUGCGGGAGGCAGCAGUGGGGAAUAUUGCACAAUGGGCGCAAGCCUGAUGCAGCGACGCCGCGUGAGGGAUGACGGCCUUCGGGUUGUAAACCUCUUUCAGCACCGACGAAGCGCAAGUGACGGUAGGUGCAGAAGAAGGACCGGCCAACUACGUGCCAGCCGCCGCGGUAA